This 449-nucleotide ribosomal RNA is filed under the name uncultured bacterium. Its description in RNAcentral is "bacterial SSU rRNA". It matches the Rfam family "Bacterial small subunit ribosomal RNA", at positions 355 to 825 of the family's 1533-position model. The record is from RNAcentral.
UGGGGAAUAUUGCACAAUGGGCGAAAGCCUGAUGCAGCAACGCCGCGUGCGGGAAGAAGGCCCUAGGGUUGUAAACCGCUUUCAGCAGGGAAGAAAAUGACGGUACCUGCAGAAGAAGGUGCGGCCAACUACGUGCCAGCAGCCGCGGUGACACGUAGGCACCAAGCGUUGUCCGGAUUUAUUGGGCGUAAAGAGCUCGUAGGCGGUUCAGUAAGUCGGGUGUGAAAACUCUGGGCUCAACCCCAGAGACGCCACCCGAUACUGCUGUGACUUGAGUACGGUAGGGGAGUGGGGAAUUCCUGGUGUAGCGGUGAAAUGCGCAGAUAUCAGGAGGAACACCAGUGGCGAAGGCGCCACUCUGGGCCGUAACUGACGCUGAGGAGCGAAAGCGUGGGGAGCAAACAGGAUUAGAUACCCCCGUAGUCCCUGAGCGGGCUGGCAAGGCGCAU